AAUGAACGCUGGCGGCAUGCCUAACACAUGCAAGUCGAACGAGACCUUCGGGUCUGGUUGCGCACGCGUGCGUAGAGCGUUGGAACCUGCCCUUAUGUUUGGAAUAACGCCCCGAAAGGGGUGCUAAUACCGGAUAAUGUCCUCUGACCAAAGAUUUAUCGAGUUUGGAUGGGCCCGCGUUGUAUUAGCUAGUUGGUAGGGUAAAAGCCUACCAAGGCGUCGAUCCAUAGCUGGUCUGAGAGGCUGAUCCGAGACACUGGGGCUGAGACACGGCCGAGAAUAUUACGGGAGGGAGGAGAGGGGAAUAUAGGACUAUGGGGGAAAUGCUGAAGCAGCAAUGCUGGGUGAGCGAUGAAGGCCUUAGGGUUGUAAAGCACUUUUACACCGGAUGAUAAUGACGGUACCGAGAGAAUAAGCACCGGCUAACUUCGUG
RNAcentral lists this ribosomal RNA (433 nucleotides) under uncultured bacterium. RNAcentral's name for it is "partial 16S ribosomal RNA". It matches the Rfam family "Bacterial small subunit ribosomal RNA", at positions 29 to 507 of the family's 1533-position model. The record is from RNAcentral.